GAACUAACAGAUUUACUUCGGUAAUGACGUUAGGAAAGCGAGCGGCGGAUGGGUGAGUAACACGUGGGGAACCUGCCCCAUAGUCUGGGAUACCACUUGGAAACAGGUGCUAAUACCGGAUAAGAAAGCAGAUCGCAUGAUCAGCUUUUAAAAGGCGGCGUAAGCUGUCGCUAUGGGAUGGCCCCGCGGUGCAUUAGCUAGUUGGUAAGGUAAAGGCUUACCAAGGCGAUGAUGCAUAGCCGAGUUGAGAGACUGAUCGGCCACAUUGGGACUGAGACACGGCCCAAACUCCUACGGGAGGCAGCAGUAGGGAAUCUUCCACAAUGGACGCAAGUCUGAUGGAGCAACGCCGCGUGAGUGAAGAAGGUUUUCGGAUCGUAAAGCUCUGUUGUUGGUGAAGAAGGAUAGAGGUAGUAACUGGCCUUUAUUUGACGGUAAUCAACCAGAAAGUCACGGCUAACUACGUGCCAGCAGCCGCGGUAAUACGUAGGUGGCAAGCGUUGUCCGGAUUUAUUGGGCGUAAAGCGAGCGCAGGCGGAAGAAUAAGUCUGAUGUGAAAGCCCU
This 564-nucleotide ribosomal RNA is filed under the name uncultured bacterium. Its description in RNAcentral is "bacterial SSU rRNA". It matches the Rfam family "Bacterial small subunit ribosomal RNA", at positions 64 to 604 of the family's 1533-position model. The record is from RNAcentral.